CCUACGGGAGGCAGCAGUGGGGAAUAUUGCACAAUGGGGGGAACCCUGAUGCCGCGACGCCGCGUGAGUGAAGAAGUAUUUCGGUAUGUAAAGCUCUAUCAGCAGGGAAGAAAAUGACGGUACCUGACUAAGAAGCCCCGGCUAACUACGUGCCAGCAGCCGCGGUAAUACGUAGGGGGCAAGCGUUAUCCGGAUUUACUGGGUGUAAAGGGAGCGUAGACGGCAGAGCAAGUCGGAAGUGAAAGCCCGGGGCCCAACUGCGGGACUGCUUUGGAAACUGCCCGGCUAGAGUGCUGGAGAGGUAAGCGGAAUUCCUAGUGUAGCGGUGAAAUGCGUAGAUAUUAGGAGGAACACCAGUGGCGAAGGCGGCUUACUGGACAGUAACUGACGUUGAGGCUCGAAAGCGUGGGGAGCAAACAGGAUUAGAUACCCUUGUAGUC
Molecule: ribosomal RNA, 440 nt
Filed under: uncultured bacterium
Lineage: Bacteria
Description: partial 16S ribosomal RNA
Rfam family: Bacterial small subunit ribosomal RNA
Source: RNAcentral